UGGGGAAUAUUGCACAAUGGGCGCAAGCCUGAUGCAGCGACGCCGCGUGAGGGAUGACGGCCUUCGGGUUGUAAACCUCUUUCAGCAGGGAAGAAGCGAAAGUGACGGUACCUGCAGAAGAAGCGCCGGCUAACUACGUGCCAGCAGCCGCGGUAAUACGUAGGGCGCAAGCGUUGUCCGGAAUUAUUGGGCGUAAAGAGCUCGUAGGCGGUUUGUCGCGUCUGCUGUGAAAACCUAAGGCUCAACCUUGGGCUUGCAGUGGGUACGGGCAGACUAGAGUGCGGUAGGGGUGACUGGAAUUCCUGGUGUAGCGGUGGAAUGCGCAGAUAUCAGGAGGAACACCGAUGGCGAAGGCAGGUCACUGGGCCGCAACUGACGCUGAGGAGCGAAAGCAUGGGGAGCGAACAGG
This 409-nucleotide ribosomal RNA is filed under the name Bacillota bacterium. RNAcentral's name for it is "Firmicutes bacterium partial 16S ribosomal RNA". It matches the Rfam family "Bacterial small subunit ribosomal RNA", at positions 355 to 776 of the family's 1533-position model. The record is from RNAcentral. Lineage: Bacteria; Bacillati; Bacillota. RNAcentral also lists the same sequence under 1 other name.